This 305-nucleotide ribosomal RNA is filed under the name uncultured bacterium. RNAcentral's name for it is "bacterial SSU rRNA". It matches the Rfam family "Bacterial small subunit ribosomal RNA", at positions 334 to 653 of the family's 1533-position model. The record is from RNAcentral.
AGCUCCUACGGGAGGCAGCAGUGGGGAAUAUUGGGCAAUGGGCGCAAGCCUGACCCAGCAACGCCGCGUGAAGGAAGAAGGCUUUCGGGUUGUAAACUUCUUUUGUCAUGGACGAAGCAAGUGACGGUACCUGACGAAUAAGCCACGGCUAACUACGUGCCAGCAGCCGCGGUAAUACGUAGGUGGCAAGCGUUAUCCGGAUUUAUUGGGUGUAAAGGGCGUGUAGGCGGGAGCGCAAGUCAGAUGUGAAAACUCAGGGCUCAACCCUGAGCCUGCAUUUGAAACUGGGUUUCUUGAGUGCUGGG